This 220-nucleotide ribosomal RNA is filed under the name uncultured bacterium. Its description in RNAcentral is "partial 16S ribosomal RNA". It matches the Rfam family "Bacterial small subunit ribosomal RNA", at positions 1281 to 1500 of the family's 1533-position model. The record is from RNAcentral.
UACGGUCUCAGUUCAGAUUGCAGGCUGCAACUCGCCUGCAUGAAGUUGGAAUUGCUAGUAAUCGCGAAUCAGAAUGUCGCGGUGAAUACGUUCCCGGGUCUUGUACACACCGCCCGUCACACCAUGAGAGUUGGAAAUACCCGAAGCCUGUGAGCUAACAGUAAUGAGGCAGCAGUCGAAGGUAGAGCCAAUGAUUGGGGUGAAGUCGUAACAAGGUAUC